UUCUGCGUAGUUUAGUGGCUAUGACGGGUCCUUGUCAUUUGACUUGGUUCGGACCAGACCCGGGUUCAAUUCCCGGCGCGGAAG
Molecule: transfer RNA, 84 nt
Filed under: Malassezia yamatoensis
Lineage: Eukaryota; Fungi; Basidiomycota; Malasseziomycetes; Malasseziales; Malasseziaceae
Also listed under: 1 other name
Description: tRNA-Asp
Rfam family: tRNA
About the family: Transfer RNA (tRNA) molecules are approximately 80 nucleotides in length.
Source: RNAcentral